Long non-coding RNA from Pollicipes pollicipes, 333 nucleotides. RefSeq lists it as uncharacterized. Lineage: Eukaryota; Metazoa; Arthropoda; Thecostraca; Pollicipedomorpha; Pollicipedidae. The record is from RefSeq and is a predicted model, not a curated record. The transcript is spliced from 3 exons.
CACGCCCACCAGCACUUCGGACAUUACGCCAACUACGAGCAGAUUCAGCACCACCCGCGCGAAGAACGCCUGAGGGGCGCCUCUCUGGUCAGUCGACUGGAGGAAAAGUUCCGGGACGAGGCCAGGCGGCAGCACCAGGUGUGCCACUCGCAGCGCGGCCGGCGCGCCGAGCCGAGCACCGCCGAAUGGCCAAUCAGCAACUACUACGAGUACGAGUCGGUGCGGGCGGUCCCGCGUGGCGGCGGCGGCAGCGGCGGCGGGGUCGACCCGACGGCGAACCACUCGCUGCCGCGCAACCAUGAGAGGACGCGCUCCGGGCCGGCCACCGGUGAC